UCUCUGGUAGUAUAGUGGUGAGUAUCCGCGCCUGUCACGUGCGAGACCGGGGUUCGAUUCCCCGCCAGAAAG
RNAcentral lists this transfer RNA (72 nucleotides) under Strongyloides ratti. RNAcentral describes it as "tRNA SRAE_0000600063". It matches the Rfam family "tRNA". From Rfam's summary of the family: Transfer RNA (tRNA) molecules are approximately 80 nucleotides in length. The record is from Rfam by way of RNAcentral. Lineage: Eukaryota; Metazoa; Nematoda; Chromadorea; Rhabditida; Strongyloididae.